GACGAACGCUGGCGGCGUGCCUAAUACAUGCAAGUUGAGCGCUGAAGGUUGGUACUUGUACCAACUGGAUGAGCAGCGAACGGGUGAGUAACGCGUGGGGAAUCUGCCUUUGAGCGGGGGACAACAUUUGGAAACGAAUGCUAAUACCGCAUAAAAACUUUAAACACAAGUUUUAAGUUUGAAAGAUGCAAUUGCAUCACUCAAAGAUGAUCCCGCGUUGUAUUAGCUAGUUGGUGAGGUAAAGGCUCACCAAGGCGAUGAUACAUAGCCGACCUGAGAGGGUGAUCGGCCAAAUUGGGACUGAGACACGGCCCAACCCACUACGGGAGGCAGCAGUAGGGAAUCUUCGGCAAUGGACGAAAGUCUGACCGAGCAACGCCGCGUGAGUGAAGAAGGUUUUCGGAUCGUAAAACUCUGUUGGUAGAGAAGAACGUUGGUGAGAGUGGAAAGCUCAUCAAGUGACGGUAACUACCCAGAAAGGGACGGCUAACUACGUG
RNAcentral lists this ribosomal RNA (497 nucleotides) under uncultured bacterium. Its description in RNAcentral is "partial 16S ribosomal RNA". It matches the Rfam family "Bacterial small subunit ribosomal RNA", at positions 28 to 507 of the family's 1533-position model. The record is from RNAcentral.